CUUUCACAAAUGAAUCCAGGCUAGACUGCGAUAACAUUACGCAGGACCUUACAAUUCUAGGACAUCUAAGAAGGGUUGAUGCUGUUCAAUGGCCACACAAAAAGCAAGGAACUUGAAGGAUUCAAAUCCAGGAGGAGCCACUCCAACACUGCUGUAGUUACUCCACGUGCAGAUAUUGGGCUAAAGAAGCAGGCCCCAUCAAUAGUCAGUAAACAACUACUGACUGCGUCUUCUUCUGUUUGUAUCUCUGUGAGAGAAUGA
RNAcentral lists this long non-coding RNA (261 nucleotides) under Gopherus agassizii (Agassiz's desert tortoise). Its description in RNAcentral is "lncRNA (ENSGAGG00000019316.1)". The record is from RNAcentral. Lineage: Eukaryota; Metazoa; Chordata; Testudines; Testudinidae.